GGUAGGGUGGCUGAAAAUAUUAGGUGGUAAAUUGUAAAUUUACUUAUGAUCUUUGGAUCUCCUAUCA
This 67-nucleotide transfer RNA is filed under the name Acanthaspis pedestris. RNAcentral's name for it is "tRNA-Tyr". The record is from RNAcentral. Lineage: Eukaryota; Metazoa; Arthropoda; Insecta; Hemiptera; Reduviidae.